RNAcentral lists this long non-coding RNA (1756 nucleotides) under Homo sapiens (human). RNAcentral's name for it is "HSALNT0210318". Lineage: Eukaryota; Metazoa; Chordata; Mammalia; Primates; Hominidae. The record is from RNAcentral.
GAAAGUCCAAGGUCAAGUGGAUGCAACUGAUGGUGUUAGAAGUGGGGUCUGAAGUAGAGCCUCUAUAAGAACCCCAGGAGUGCUGAGUGAACAAGCAAGGUAUCUGCUGGAGCUACUUGUGUCCUUUGAUCUCUCAGCAGCUGGAGAUCAUGGAGCUGAACUUCUGAUGUGUGGAUGGGAGGGGAGAUGGCAUAUGGCCUGGUGAAAUAGGAAUUCUUCAUUGUUUUUUCUAGCAUUCAUUUGGUUACUUCCAGUGUUUUAAAAUAAAAUAUUUGUCACAAACAAAUGAAAAAACAUUCCAUGCUCAUGGAUGGGAAGAAUCAAUAUCGUGAAAAUGGCCAUACUGCCCAAAGUAAUUUAUAGAUUCAAUGCUAUUCCCAUCAAGCUACCACUGACUUUCUUCACAGAAUUAGAAAAAACUACUUUAAAUUUCAUAUGGAAUCAAAAAAGAGCCUGUAUAACCAGGGCAAUCCUAAGCAAAAAGAACAAAGUUGGAGGCAUCACGCUACCUGACUUCAAACUAUACUACAAGGUUACAGUAACCAAAACAACAUGUUACUAGUACCAAAACAGACAUAUAGACCAAUGGAACAGAACAGAGUCCUCAGAAAUAACACCAUGCAUCUAUAGCCAUCUGAUCUUUGACAAAACUGACAAAAACAAGCAAUGGGGAAAGGAUUCCCUAUUUAAUAAAUGAUGUCGGGAAAACUGGCUAGCCAUAUGCAGAAAGCUGAAACUGGACCCCUUCUUUACACCUUAUACAAAAAUUGACUCAACAUGGAUUAAAGACUUAAACAUAAGACCUAAAACCAUGAAAACCCUGGAAGAAAGCCUAGGCAAUACCAUUCAGGAUACAGGCAUGGGCAAAGACUUCAUGACUAAAACACCAAAAGCAAUUGCAACAAAAGCCAAAACUGACAAAUGGGAUCUAAUUAAAUGAAAGAGCUUCUGCACAGCAAAAGAAACUAUCAUCAGAGUGAACAGGCAACCUACAGAAUGGGAGAAAAUUUUUGUAAUUUAUCCAUCUGACAAAGGUCUAAUAUCCAGAAUCUACAGAGAACUUAAACAAAUGUACAAGAAAAAACAAACAACCCCAUCAAAAAGUGGGGCAAAGGAUAAGAACAGACACUUAUCAGAAGAAGACAUUUAUGCAGCCAACAAACAUAUGAAAUAAAGCUCAUCAUCACUGCUCAUUAGAGAAAUGCAAAUCAAAAUUGCAAUGAGAUACCGUCUCACGCCAGUUAGAAUGGCUAUCAUUAAAAAGCCAGGAAACAACAGAUGCUGGAGAGGAUGUUGAGAAAUAGAAGUGCUUUUACACUGUUGAUGGGAGUGUAAAUUAGUUCAACCAUUGUGGAAGACAGUGUGGCGAUUCCUCAAGGAUCUAGAACCAGAAAUACCAUUUGACCCAGCAAUCCCAUUACUGGGUAUAUACCCAAAGGGUUAUAAAUCAUUCUACUAUAAAGACAUACACACACAUAAGUUUAUUGCAGCACUAUUCACAAUAGCAGACUUGGAACCAAUCCAAAUGCCCAUCAGUGAUACACUGGAUAAAGAAAAUGUGGCACAUAUACACCAUGGAAUACUAUGCAGCCAUAAAAAUGAUGAGUUCAUGUCCUUUGCAGGGACAUGGAUGAAGCUGGAAACCAUCAUUCUCAGCAAACUAACACAGGAACAGAAAACCAAACACUGCAUGUUCUCACUCAUAAGUAGGAGUUGAACAAUGAGAACACAUGGACGCAGGGAGGGGAACGUCACA